CCGAGUCACACUUUUGUGAGACAACUCAGAGGCUUUUCCUUUUUUUUUGUUUGUUUGUAGCGACACGAGAGUGGGCAGAGGGAUAGUCGAAGCGCCCAUGCCCGUCUUGCCCUUCAACACCCGCGCUGUUACUUUUUCCACGAUUGCUUUGUUUGUCGAACUCGCCGCCAGGGCCGAGGCACCGCAGAAAAAGAAAGCACCAUAGCCACACGCCCACGGACCCAGGUGCGCGCCUCUCCAGGGAGUUUUUUGUGCGUCUUUCGUGCGAGUUUCUCGAGACUCGGGCCAUUGGUGUGCAGCUGCCGCGCCGUGGCAAGCAGACAAGAGCCAAGAGCUCCGAUCCGAAGCACGAAAGCGCCUCCGCUUUAACGUCGAGGUGGAGGCACGAACGUUUUUUUUUUCUGCCGGCUUUGCGCUCGUUUGGUCCCCUUAGCGCAGCUCUUUUCGCUCUCCCGCGUCUUCAGAGUAUUUUCCAGCUCGUCACGUUUCAGGAGGGAUGCGGUGGCGGCAAUGGUGGUCGGCGCUUCGCUACUCCAAGUACGGUGACGUCCCUUUUGUGCUUCUCGGCGUGCUCAUCGGCUGGAACUGUGAUGUGAGCUGUGCCGUGAAGGGGGUAUCCAUGGUGCCCACCUUAAACCCCGGUGAGUACAUCCUCUUUGUCCCGUACACAAUGCUUCAGGUACGCCGCUGGUUCAAUGCCCCUCUGGUAAACCUGAGUGAUGUGGUGGUUGUCAAGGUGUCCGAUGACCUUUCAGUUUGCAAGAGAGUUGUCAAGUGCACCUCUAGCAGAGCACAGGCUGAGGAAUGGGGCAAGGAGCACUACGUGGAAGUGAUGCCUGCGCCGUACAGUCCACCGGUUCCACAGCACAUGAAUGGCGACGACGAGGACUCAACAGAGAUGGACAGUGCGGCGAACUCUGAGCGGGCCUACUUCGACUACGUUGCCCGUAACACCGUCCGCUCCAAAGACUGGGACUCGUGCAUUGAUCGCAUCCCCAACCCCUCUCAGUGGAUCUGGCUGGAGGGCGACAACAAAUCCGAGAGCUUCGACUCUCGCCGUUGUGGACCAGUGCCGGUCGAGUGCAUUCGUGGUCUUGUUCUUGCAUCCAUUUGGCCCUCUCCUCACGCCCUUCAGCGACCCCCACCACCACCGCGCGCAUCGCAGCUUCACUGAAGCCUCACUUCCUCCGCCCGUCUCCUCUUCGCUACACAAGACGACACGGCACCCCUCAGCAGCUAUUGGUGCGUGCAUUCACCAGAAACGGUCGAAUAAAGCAUCUACGUUAGCAGCACGCAGUGAUAACUACCACAACGGUUACCUUUCACGCACACAAACUUGAAAAUCCAGCUACGAUCGAAGCGUUACCUAAACCAUUUACAUCAGGUCACGCGAAGAGCACAGCCCUUCCGCCGCCUGUAGUCCCCAAUUCUCUCCAG
RNAcentral lists this unclassified non-coding RNA (1437 nucleotides) under Leishmania donovani. Its description in RNAcentral is "gene:LdHU3.36.0320(CDS-product:mitochondrial_inne r_membrane_signal_peptidase_putative)". The record is from RNAcentral. Lineage: Eukaryota; Euglenozoa; Kinetoplastea; Trypanosomatida; Trypanosomatidae.